This is a small nuclear RNA of Nannospalax galili (Upper Galilee mountains blind mole rat), 191 nucleotides long. Its record names the gene U2. It matches the Rfam family "U2 spliceosomal RNA". From Rfam's summary of the family: U2 is a small nuclear RNA (snRNA) component of the spliceosome (involved in pre-mRNA splicing). Complementary binding between U2 snRNA (in an area lying towards the 5' end but 3' to hairpin I) and the branchpoint sequence (BPS) of the intron results the bulging out of an unpaired adenosine, on the BPS, which initiates a nucleophilic attack at the intronic 5' splice site, thus starting the first of two transesterification reactions that mediate splicing. Lineage: Eukaryota; Metazoa; Chordata; Mammalia; Rodentia; Spalacidae. The record is from Ensembl.
AUCAUUUCCCAGCCUUUUGGCUAACAUCAAGUAUACUGUCUGUUCUUAUCAGUUUAAUAUCUGAUAUGUGCUCUAUUCGAGAACAAUAUAUUAAAUGGACUUUUGGAACUAGGAGAUGGAAUAGGAGCUUGUUCCACCUACUCCACACAUCAACCUGGUAUUGCAGUACCUCCAGGAAUGGUGCAUUCUCC